Molecule: ribosomal RNA, 332 nt
Filed under: Campyloneurus sp.
Lineage: Eukaryota; Metazoa; Arthropoda; Insecta; Hymenoptera; Braconidae
Description: partial 16S ribosomal RNA
Source: RNAcentral
UGAUAUUUUAUUUAAUGGCUGCAGAAUUUUUUACUGUACAAAGGUAGCAUAAUAAUUUGUUUUUUAAUUAAAAACUAGAAUGAAAGAUUCAAUGAAAUAUAAACUGUUUCAAUUAAAAUUUAUUAAAUUUUUUAUUUAAGUAAAAAAACUUAAAUAAAUUUUUAAGACGACAAGACCCUAUAGAAUUUAAUUUAAUUUUUUUUUAAAAAAAAAAAUUAAAUUUUAUUGGGGNAAUAAAAAAAUUAAAUUAAUUUUUUUUUUANAAUACNUANANAAUUGAAUAAUUUAUCUUAAUUUUUAAAUUAAAAAAAUUAAUUACCUUAGGGAUAACA